RNAcentral lists this ribosomal RNA (376 nucleotides) under uncultured Actinomycetes bacterium. RNAcentral's name for it is "bacterial SSU rRNA". It matches the Rfam family "Bacterial small subunit ribosomal RNA", at positions 1073 to 1446 of the family's 1533-position model. Lineage: Bacteria; Bacillati; Actinomycetota; Actinomycetes. The record is from RNAcentral.
UGUUGGGUUAAGUCCCGCAACGAGCGCAACCCCUGUCCCAUGUUGCCAGCGAUUCGGUCGGGGACUCAUGGGAGACUGCCGGUGACAAAUCGGAGGAAGGUGGGGAUGAUGUCAAGUCAUCAUGCCCCUUAUGUCCAGGGCUACACACGUGCUACAUUGGCCGGUACAAAGGGCUGCAAACCCGCGAGGGGGAGCGAAUCCCAAAAAGCCGGUCCCGGUUCGGAUUGGAGGCCGAAACUCGCCUCCAUGAAGUCGGAGUUGCUAGUAAUCGCGGAUCAGCAACGCCGCGGUGAAUACGUUCCCGGGCCUUGUACACACCGCCCGUCACACCACGAAAGUUGGCAACACCCGAAGCCGGUGGCCUAACCCCUUGUGG